This 433-nucleotide ribosomal RNA is filed under the name uncultured bacterium. RNAcentral's name for it is "partial 16S ribosomal RNA". It matches the Rfam family "Bacterial small subunit ribosomal RNA", at positions 29 to 507 of the family's 1533-position model. The record is from RNAcentral.
AACGAACGCUGGCGGCAUGCCUAACACAUGCAAGUCGAACGAGACCUUCGGGUCUAGUGGCGCACGGGUGCGUAACGCGUGGGAACCUGCCCUUAGGUUCAGAAUAACUCCCCGAAAGGGGUGCUAAUACCGGAUAAUGUCUUCGGACCAAAGAUUUAUCGCCUUUGGAUGGGCCCGCGUUGGAUUAGCUAGUUGGUAGGGUAAAAGCCUACCAAGGCGACGAUCCAUAGCUGGUCUGAGAGGAUGAUCAGCCACACUGGGACUGAGACACGGCCCAGACUCCUACGGGAAGCAGCAGUGGGGAAUAUUGGACAAUGGGCGAAAGCCUGAUCCAGCAAUGCCGCGUGAGUGAUGAAGGCCUUAGGGUUGUAAAGCUCUUUUACCCGGGAUGAUAAUGACAGUACCGGGAGAAUAAGCUCCGGCUAACUCCGUG